This 254-nucleotide ribosomal RNA is filed under the name uncultured bacterium. Its description in RNAcentral is "partial 16S ribosomal RNA". It matches the Rfam family "Bacterial small subunit ribosomal RNA", at positions 524 to 776 of the family's 1533-position model. The record is from RNAcentral.
UACGGGGGGAGCAAGCGUUGUUCGGAUUUACUGGGCGUAAAGGGCGCGUAGGCGGCCACCGCAAGUCGACUGUGAAAUCUCCGGGCUUAACCCGGAAAGGUCAGCCGAUACUGCGGGGCUAGAGUGCAGAAGGGGCAACUGGAAUUCUCGGUGUAGCGGUGAAAUGCGUAGAUAUCGAGAGGAACACCUGCGGCGAAGGCGGGUGGCUGGGCUGACACUGACGCUGAGGCGCGAAAGCGAGGGGAGCGAACGGG